UCCCCGUUACCGGGGCAGUUUGAAUAGAAAAAUACAACUAUUCACAAGGGUUGCGCUCGUUGAUGGACUUAACCAAACAUCUCACGACACGAGCUGACGACGGCCAUGCAUCACCUGUCACUUGGUUCCAAAAGGCACACUCUACUUUCGCAGAGCUCCCAAGGAUGUCAAGUCCUGGUAAGGUUUAUCGUUUAGCAUCGAAUUAAAGAACACGAUCCACUACUUGUGCGGGUCCCCGUCAAUUCCUUUAUGUUUUAGUCUUGCGACCGUACUCCACAGGCGGGAUACUUAACGCGUUAGCUUUACUACUAGAGGGGUCGAUACCUCUAACAGUUAGUAUCCAUCGUUUACGGCGUGGACUAC
RNAcentral lists this unclassified non-coding RNA (363 nucleotides) under uncultured bacterium. RNAcentral's name for it is "contains 16S-23S intergenic spacer region". The record is from RNAcentral.